GAUCGCUAUCAAUUACUUCUGCAU
Molecule: non-coding RNA, 24 nt
Filed under: Arabidopsis thaliana (thale cress)
Lineage: Eukaryota; Viridiplantae; Streptophyta; Magnoliopsida; Brassicales; Brassicaceae
Source: RNAcentral